Molecule: transfer RNA, 54 nt
Filed under: Agamermis sp. BH-2006
Lineage: Eukaryota; Metazoa; Nematoda; Enoplea; Mermithida; Mermithidae
Description: tRNA-Asn
Source: RNAcentral
UUAUAAAUUUUUAGGUUAAAUGAAAAUUGUUAAUUUUCUACAAAAUUACCUAGA